Long non-coding RNA from Nilaparvata lugens (brown planthopper), 410 nucleotides. RefSeq lists it as uncharacterized. The transcript has 3 exons. The record is from RefSeq and is a predicted model, not a curated record. Lineage: Eukaryota; Metazoa; Arthropoda; Insecta; Hemiptera; Delphacidae.
AUUUUGCACCGAAAAAACAGUUUUUGUACUUUGUAGUGAGUUUCGUAGUUUGUAAUUUUUGUGAUUUUAUCCAGGAAAUAUAGGAGCUGUGGUGAUGGAAUUCUCCAACACAAAAGAAAAAGACAUAGAAGCAGUACGGUAAUCAAAUACUGGCUGAAGUCUCCAGAAACUCGGUUUACCAGCAAAGAGAAAUCUAAAAAUGUUCAAACACCGGAUCCUGGAGGAAAAUGUGAAUGCUUCAAAAAUUAGAUUGAAUUGAGGUGCAGUAACAUAAACCAGUAUGUAGCUCAAAAAAUUGCUACUUCAAACAGGAAGAGAUUAAAGUAUUCUGGAGCACCACAAUAAGGACCUUUCUUCAUAGAUAAAUGACAUGCAUAUGAGUUAUUUUAAUAAACAAACUUCUCACAUUA